GAAAUUUAACAGGGGUGCCUAACAUAACAGGCUGAGAUUAUACCCUACGAACCUGAUGCAGGUAAUGCUGACGAAGGGAGUACAAGGUGAAUACAU
This 96-nucleotide non-coding RNA is filed under the name bacterium 336. Its description in RNAcentral is "Bacterium 336 TPP sequence". It matches the Rfam family "TPP riboswitch aptamer (THI element)". From Rfam's summary of the family: Vitamin B(1) in its active form thiamin pyrophosphate (TPP) is an essential coenzyme that is synthesised by coupling of pyrimidine and thiazole moieties in bacteria. The previously detected thiamin-regulatory element, thi box was extended, resulting in a new, highly conserved RNA secondary structure, the THI element, which is widely distributed in eubacteria and also occurs in some archaea. Analysis of operon structures identified a large number of new candidate thiamin-regulated genes, mostly transporters, in various prokaryotic organisms. RNAcentral also lists the same sequence under 1 other name. The record is from RNAcentral.